RNAcentral lists this long non-coding RNA (1341 nucleotides) under Scleropages formosus (Asian bonytongue). RNAcentral's name for it is "lncRNA (ENSSFOG00015030008.1)". The record is from RNAcentral. Lineage: Eukaryota; Metazoa; Chordata; Actinopteri; Osteoglossiformes; Osteoglossidae.
CGCUCUUUUAUUUCCUUAGCAACGCGGAACACGGAGGAACGUGCAGCGACAGACAAGCGCCGCAGAAGUAAAAAUGAAAAACCAUUCCUUUCCGUGCAUAAAUGACGACGACGCACGUUUUAGGCUGAAAGUUGAAAGCAAAACGAAAAACAUCUUUGUGACGCAGAAUGAGGAGGAAAGAGAUGAAGAAGAUGAAAACGUUAAUCGAAUUCCAGUCAUAACAGAGGACUCUGGCAGACUCCUAGAAAUGGGAGUGAACACUCUUCAGAGGACCCUUGUCCUCAGGAGGAAGAUGGCUGUGGACCGGGUUGAAAUGCAGCUGGCCCUCAAACGGCAGGAGUUCCAGGAACGUAUGAAGGCUGUGGCUCAUCGGAAAGCUGAACUUCACCGCAAGCAAGAGGAGAAAGAAGAUCUGGUGAUGAAAUUUGAGAAGCUCGUGCAGGAAAACAAGGCAAAGCAGCAGCAGGAGCUGAAGAAGCAUCGGCUGGAGAGGAAGCAGAAUGAACUGGAGAAGGAGUUGGAGGAACUCAGGCAGCAGCUGGAGACCCUGGAACUUAGGAAGAAGUACCUAAGAGAGAAGGCGAACAGAUAUAGAAUUUAUGAAGACUAUUUACUCAAAGUUUUAGAUCUGCUUCCUGAGAAACAUGGAACAGACACACCAGUCAUGCCCAUCAUCCAACGGCAUGAGACUCUGUCUAUCACACAUGGGGACCUGCAGGAAAGGCUGGAGGGCCUGAUGGAGGAACUUAAGAGGCGCAAGCAUGAUCUAGAAGCCAUGAGGCAGGAGCUUGACACUAGGAAGCUGAUCACAAAAAGGAAGCUCUCUGAGCUGCAGACCCAAUGGGACACGGAGAAAGAGAAGAAUAUACGCCUGGAGAUGAACCUGCAGAUGAAACAGGGCCAAUCCAGAGAGCGGAAUAAGGGGAUGGGGAGUCUGUUCACAGCAAUUAGAAAUCUGGGCGAGCAGUGUCACCUACAGCAUUAUGGAUCACUAGAAGACAUGGACCUUUUAAGCAUGAUGGAUAUGAUUAAGGAAUUCAUUGUGGAGAAAUCAGAAGUGGAAAAAAUGGCAAAGGACCCUCGUGCGUGUUUGCCGGGUGCAGGGGGGCUUCCUGACAUUAGAAGGGCCAAAGUUUCACCAGCAAAGUCUGACAGUAAGACAGCACUAAAGACAAGCAGCAAGACCAGCAGUAAGAACAGCCUGACAAGUGGCUCAUGGGUAUAAAUACAGAGCCCUGAGGAACACCCACUGAUUCCUAUCACGUGCAGCUAGUGAAUACUGGCAAUAUAUAGUAAAGUCACGCUAAUAAAAUGGAUAAAUCUGUUUUUAUUUAACUUUGU